GAGAUAUAUACUGUCUCAUAUAUAUAAAAUGAAUUUAAAUUUUUAGUAAAAAUGCUUAAAUAAUUUUAUGGGACGAUAAGACCCUAUAGAAUUUUAUAUUAAAAUUUUAUUAAUUAUUUAGUUAAAAUUUUAAUAUUUAGUUGGGAGGAUUAGUAAAUAGAAUUAACUUUAUUUUAAAAAUAAACUUUGAUUUAAGAAUAAAAUUUUGAUCUUAUAUUAUAAAUUAAAAGAAUAAAUUACCUUAGGGAUAACAGCGUAAUAUCUUUUUAAAGAUCAUAUUAAUAAAGAUGUUUGCGACCUCGAUGUUGAAUUAAGAUAAAUUUUAAAUGAAGAAAUUUAAAAAUUAAGUCUGUUCGACUUUUAAAAUCUUACAUGA
Molecule: ribosomal RNA, 376 nt
Filed under: Bombus morio
Lineage: Eukaryota; Metazoa; Arthropoda; Insecta; Hymenoptera; Apidae
Description: partial 16S ribosomal RNA
Rfam family: Archaeal large subunit ribosomal RNA (bases 247-376)
Source: RNAcentral